AGUUCUCGUUGAUGAUCGGUGCUUGCACCGAGAUUCAACAUGGAACGAGUGGCGGACGGGUGAGUAACACGUGGGUAACCUGCCCUUAAGUGGGGGAUAACAUUUGGAAACAGAUGCUAAUACCGCAUAGAUCCAAGAACCGCAUGGUUCUUGGCUGAAAGAUGGCGUAAGCUAUCGCUUUUGGAUGGACCCGCGGCGUAUUAGCUAGUUGGUGAGGUAAUGGCUCACCAAGGCGAUGAUACGUAGCCGAACUGAGAGGUUGAUCGGCCACAUUGGGACUGAGACACGGCCCAAACUCCUACGGGAGGCAGCAGUAGGGAAUCUUCCACAAUGGACGCAAGUCUGAUGGAGCAACGCCGCGUGAGUGAAGAAGGCUUUCGGGUCGUAAAACUCUGUUGUUGGAGAAGAAUGGUCGGCAGAGUAACUGUUGUCGGCGUGACGGUAUCCAACCAGAAAGCCACGGCUAACUACGUG
RNAcentral lists this ribosomal RNA (474 nucleotides) under Lacticaseibacillus casei. Its description in RNAcentral is "bacterial SSU rRNA". It matches the Rfam family "Bacterial small subunit ribosomal RNA", at positions 60 to 507 of the family's 1533-position model. Lineage: Bacteria; Bacillati; Bacillota; Bacilli; Lactobacillales; Lactobacillaceae. The record is from RNAcentral.